RNAcentral lists this long non-coding RNA (303 nucleotides) under Monodelphis domestica (gray short-tailed opossum). RNAcentral describes it as "lncRNA (ENSMODG00000032686.2)". Lineage: Eukaryota; Metazoa; Chordata; Mammalia; Didelphimorphia; Didelphidae. The record is from RNAcentral.
AUGUUCUCCUUGUCCAUGUACCUCGCUUUUGUUUCAGUGACCCUUCGCCUCCCACACAUACACAAGUUUGAAUUUCCUGUUGGCUCUGAGAAACUCAUCAGCCUGUGGCCAAACUGAAGAUGAGGCACUUCAAACGUGGACAGAUUGAUCCUUAGAAAAUAGCCCUCAAGAUCCUUUAAUGGGCCCAUGCCAAAAGGCUUUGCCACUUGGUAGGAUCUGCCCAAGCUUACAAUCCAACUGACAUAUCCUUUGUGAAUCCAGGUUGACUUUCAUAAAGUUGUGAGUAGACAUUUAUGGAGGCAG